Molecule: long non-coding RNA, 466 nt
Filed under: Androctonus crassicauda
Lineage: Eukaryota; Metazoa; Arthropoda; Arachnida; Scorpiones; Buthidae
Source: RNAcentral
CGGAACAUAAACAUGGGGAUAAUUAUAUAAAGUAUAUACGGGAUAAUAACAAGUCCUUGGGACAUUUGCGCUGGGUUCGUCGGGCACUGGUGCGGAGCACUAUCCUUAUAGAUUGGCGUCGGUUGCGGUGCAGGUGUGGGUUGGAGCGCUGAUUAUUGAGGAGGUGCUUCCGCGGGUUGCUCAGAGGUUCCGGUGUUUAUCAUUGAUGAUCAGCGCCUGUUUUUUGCAUUUGUAUAUUUGUGGGGUUUCUGCUAUAGGGAGGUCUUUGGUGGAGUGCACUGGUUUGAUUGUCCUUGAGUCUUCCCAAUUGAUGCUGGUGUCAUCUUCAUGCGCUCGUUUGGCCAGAGCUGUUGUUAUGACCAACAAAGAGGGACAGAAGAAUUUUACGUGGGAGCGACAGCAAGGAACCUGGAGGAUAGGCUCAAAGAGCAUAAAAGGGAUAUUACUACUGCUCAAUAAACAACAG